GUGGAUACAAGUAUUUUCAGCUUGAAAAACAUUCAUGGUAAGGCUGUGUUAUAAUUGUAUGGACAAAACCCGUUUUUAGAUAUACAGUUCACCUGAAUGAAGAGCUAUUUAACCUCUACUAUGGGAAGACGCUCUUGACAGAUGUUUGGCAGUUGAAUGUGGCAUGGAGGGAGCUAUCUCAGGCUGGGAUAAAGUAUGUAAAUAUAGUCCAUACCAUAGUAAUUUGUUACUGGGAAAAGAAAGUCACUGGUACGCGACUCUAUAGUACUUAUUCUGGGUCUUACUUGGAUGUCUUGUGCACAGCGUAGACCUUAAUAGCAGCCAUCUCCCAUGGAGGGUUCAUGGCAGCGUGGCAGGUUAGGAAAAGUGGGGGAGACAUAACUUGUAAUACCUUAGACAGUUUGUGGACAUUAGUUGUUCUCUCAGAUUCUCAAGAGGAGAAGAGACUGAUGGGCAAAGCAAAAGAGAAAUCUGGAAGAUGAUACACAGAACACAAAGUGGCUAUGCUACACUGUUUCCACUAAGCCUCCCAGAGUGAGUCACAGCAGGAGGCACAGAUUGAAGCCUAUCAAGGUGUUCUUCAAGAAGUUAUCCAAAUGCGUAAUGUCACACACUGGGAGAACUUGACCACCUCCAGUUGUGAAAUAGAAGAAUGGCUACUCUUUCCUUUACCAAAAUUGGAUAGCUUGUUCUUGGUGAGACCAACCUGUAUGGUGUCUUCUUUCUCCCCAGCUGAAUGGUGGGCAUAACUUUUGCCUCUACAUUCCUCUGUAGACCAGGAAGGGAAGUUGAAUCCAGUGGUGAUGUGAGAAAAUGGUCCCAGAAUUUUCAGAGUACGCAGGUUCCUCUGGUCUAUGGAUGUGAACUCUAGGGUGGUUGGAACAAAGCCACUUAUACCUAUGCCUCAAGGUAUAGGUCAAUACCUAUACCUUAUACCUCAAGAGAACCCCUUUUGAGUUCUCUUUCUGAGGACCUGGCUGUGAGGCAGUUUAUGUUGCCUGGACCCUGUGAGGUCUGUUCCAGCGCCUGGUCUCCCCUGCUCUGCAGAAUAUGAGCUGAGAAAAUGUGCUGUAGUCAGAGACAACCCCACCAAGAAGAGUGGAGUCAGCCUGGAGAAGAUAGGAAGCUGCUAUACCUGGAGAUGCUGGACACGCAGACAGCAGGACUGACAAGCUGAUGAUCAAGGAAGUCACUAGAAACGAGAGACAGGGAGGAAGGUAGGCCUCAUGCUUCACAGUGAAGAGGCAGAGGCAUAUCCUCGGACUCACACUGCUUCAGAGAAGAAAGUACAUACAUCUGUCAGACAGUAAGGAAAGAUAGCCAAGUUGAAGCAUGUUACGGUAAAAUAGGAUAGAAAAAGGAUUUUUCGAUACAAUGAAUUGCCUCAGAUCUGACAGGGAGAUGUGACUGGUAUUAUACCAUUAAUAGCAUUUAAGACUAAAAAGACAACUGACAUAGGCUUGGCCAAUUUUUCAAAAAACGUACUGGAAAAAAAAAACCCCAAAUCUCUCAUAGUGAAGGGAAUGCUGUAUUCCUUUAUAUUUUUCCCUCUGGGCGGGCAUGGAGGACAUGUGUUACUUCUCUGUGGAGAAUGUCGGAUUUUCAGGUAGCCAUGAUGUGAGUGUGAAUCAUCUUCUGUAGAUCAUAAAAAGGCAAUUUUAAAGUAGUGAAACCAAGGUGAUUUUGAAGGAAAUGUUAUAAGGAAUUAUAACGAACAAUGAUUGAAAAUGGAGGUUUGGGCCGUGGAACCUGUAUCUUUGAACUUACCCAGCGUGGCCUGUGGGAAAAAUAAAAGAGAAGCCCUGAUGAGGCAUGGUCUGACUUGAUCUGAUACACAAUUAUAGAAAGGAUGCCUUCAUAUUACAAUAUCGUAAACAGGGAAAGAACUGUGUAUGAUAGCCCAUCAAAAAAGUGUGUUUGAGAUCCAACACCUUGAUACUAAAAGAGAUAUAGUCACAGGGCACCUGCAUGGCUCAGUCAGUUAAGCGUCCGACUUCAGUUCAGGUCAUGAUCUUGCAGUUCAUGAGUUCAAGUCCAGCACUGGGCUCUGUGCUGACAGCUCAGAGCCUGGAGCCUGCUUUGGAUUCUGUGUCUGCCUCACUCUCUGCCCCUCCCCCACUCAUGCUCGGUCUCUGUCUCUCAAAAAUAAAUACACGUAAAAAAAAAAAAAAAGGAAUAUAAUCAGUGCAUGAAAACCACCAGUUAGAAACUUAUACUGUUCUGUACAUGAUUUUAAAAUAUCAAGAUAGGGGCACUUGGGUGGCUCAGUCACUUAAGUGGCCAACUCUUGAUUUUGACUCAGGUCAUGAUCUCAUGGUUUGUGAGUGUGAGCCCUGCGUUGGGCUCUGUGCUGACAGCACACGGAGCCUGCUUCAGAUCCUAAGUCUCCCUCUCUCUGUCCUUCUUCUAUUCGUGAGCUCUCUCAAAAGUAAAUAAAUGUAAAAAAAAUUAAAACCAUCAGAAUAAAUAUUUUUAAAUGUUCUCAUACACAUUGGAAAGCCUGAAAUUCCAUGCAUUGCUUUGAUGUCUCUGAGCCUCCCCCCCCGCCCCAGAGCCUCGCUGGGAGUUCCCUGCUUUCCUCAGGUCUGUCCCCAACCAGUGAAAAAUCUCACACUGGGUAGUUCCCUAUCAUCUGGCCUCACUGCCCCCCACCUGGACCUCAACCUAAUAGGUUCACUUUUCUGCAGGCCAGCAAAACUCCCAAGACAAUUCCAUCCUUCUGCAGGGACCAGGGGUCACCUCCCGCUCUUGCCACUACAGAGCCUGCGUCUCAUGGCCCCUGCUGGUUCAUCUUGCCAUGUGGGCCUUGCAUGCAACUCCCAUGUGGGCCUUGCAUGCCGUGUAGUGCCCUCCUCCCCCAGGCUGGGAGUAUUGUAAGUGACCCACUGCCAUUACUGGGGACUGUGCAUUUGACCAUCUCAUACCUUUUAGGGCCUGGAAUCCCUACUUCACCAACAGGGUGAAUAGGAGGUGGUCAGAAGAGCAUGUAGGCAUAAGCUUUGGUGUUUCUCCUUCCUUUCCCAAAUGCAUCCUGGCAGCCCUUUUAGCUCCAACCAAGGUCAAGUCAGGACUUGGUCUCUUAGGAAGUUUUUGCCGUGUUAUCAAUGUUUGCAAGUGAGUUAUAGGUUCUUCCCGUGCACUGCAAGGUCCUAUGGUUUCUUUGCCUGUAAAAGAUAGCUCAUUAAGCUCUAAUCCAAUAGCCCAAUAAAAAAGGAACAAUAGAGACAAAACAGUGGAAGAAAUCAUAAUGCAUUUUAUAAUUCUUCCUGAAAUCUGGUCCAAGCUGGCCUGGUUAGAAAUCCAUUUCUAAGAAGAAAGAACUACUUUUAAAAAGAAAAGAACUUUUAUGAACCCUUGCUAUUAUGCAUGGCGCAGAGUUAUAUGAAGAAAAUAAAUCAUUCUAAUAUGUUUACCAAAGCUUAUAGUUACUCGUGACAAUAAGAAUGGGUGUUAAGUCCAUAGAUUAGGGGUUGCAAACUCAACUCAUGACAAGAACCAGGCAGGUAAUUAAAUGGCUGAAGCAGGGUGGAGGAUGAUCUAAUUUUAAAUGUUGGCAACUAAUUAAAAUGUAUUAAAAGUCCUGCAUAAGCCAAACAAAACACAUCUGGGGACCACAUGUCCAAGGGCAAGCCUGGAGCAACUUUUGAAAUCCUGUUCAUUCUUCAAGGCCUGAAUUGUGGGCAUGCCCUUCCAAGAAUCCUGUGACUGCAGGGGUGGGUCAGGCUGAGCCUGCCCUUCCUGGAGCUUUUAUUGAACUGGCCAUGAGAAGUACAAGCGAUGGCCCUUUUGUUCCCUCACUGUUGCCUCAGUGGGGCUUUUAUUCCUCAUAGGAUUGAAGGUCCUUGGGAACAGAGACCAUGUUUUAUGUUUCUCUCAUUGUUUUCACACCUUUUAGUUCCUGACUCAAUAAUAAUAAUAAUAAUAAUAAUAAUAAUAAUAAAUAUAAUAAUGGCAGCAGCUACCAUUUAUAAAGCUCUUUCCGUGAGUCUGACCCAUUUCUUUUUUUAAAAAAAUUUUUACAUUUAUUUAUUUUUUGAGAGACAUAGAGAGACAGAGCACAAGUUGGGGAGGGGAAGAGAGAGAAGGAGACACAGAAUCUGAAGCAGGCUCCAAGCUCCCAGCUGUCAGCACAGAGCCCGACAUGAGGCUCGAACUCACAAACUGUGAGAUCAUGACCUGAGCCGAAGUCGGAUGCUUAACCAACUGAGCCACCCAGGCGCCCCAAGUCUGACCCAUUUCUAAUGGGUUUUACUUAUAUGAUUUAAUUUUCACAAUCCUUGUGAGGGAGGUACUAUUGUCAUCCCAUUUUACUGAUUGGCCAGCUGAGGCGCAGAGAAGUGAAGUGACUGGUCAAGGUCGCCCAGCUGGUGAGAUGUGGAGCCAGUUAAUUUGGCCAGUCGGAUUCCAUAGCAUGUGUGCUCAGGCACUACAGUACAACUAUUAACUAGUUCAACAUAGUUGUUUUCUAGCUAAGAGUUUUAAACUUUUUUGCGCCGCAGUGUUUCGCACAUAGUGCUAGUGACUUUUAAGAUGGUGAGCUGAAAAACCUUUCUGUUUUAUUUCCACCUCUCUUCCCUUUCUGUCUUGUGUCCGCUUUUGAUUCCUAAUAAGGGACGGAAUAGUGGAAUUAACAUACAGCAACGAUACCCGUAAGAUGCCAAAAUAGCCACAUAAUAUUUGUUCUUACUCUUUGCUCAAAAUUAAGCGGAUGUCGGUGCAGGCUCACCAGUCUGGAAGUUUUGUGUGGGCACUCCGCAGCGGAAUCGCCAGAUAAGAGAUACUGAAUAGUUUUGCGAGAAGAACUUGAGAGGAAAGAGGGAAGGUCGUGGCGGUGAGGAGUUUGCCCUUUCUGCAGUUGACAGCGGUGAAUAAAUUACUGGUGAGAUGAACUGGGAAAGGGUCUAGGGUUUUGUGACUGCAGGCAUAUCAAUAUUUGACCCUUGCUUCAUUAGUGUUUCUUCUCUAGGUGGAAGAGAAACGAUUCAUGCAUCGGACUUUUUCAUUGUGUCCUCAGGAUCAUAAAACAUAUUUGAUAAACAUUUCUGAGACCAAGUUGCUCUGAGAUUGUUAUCGUUACUAACUAUUCUUUGUGUAAUAGCAGAACUCGUUUUGUAAGACACAAAUGACCCUAUUCUCCUGGUCUGAAUGGAAGAUGGAGAUUUGCUCGUCACAUCCACCCGUGUAUGUUCUGGUAUGUUCUAAGUUUAUUUUAUUAUUAUUAUCUUUUAUUUAGAGAGAGAUAGAGAACAAGUGGGGAAGGGGCAGAGGGAGAGAAGGACGGAGAAAAUCCCAAGCAGGCUUCGCACUGUCAGUGCAGAUCCCGAUGUGGGGCUCAAACUUAGAAACCGUGAGAUCAUGACCUGAGUCGAAGUCAAGACUCAGAAGAUUUGCCAACAGAGGGACCCAGGGGCCCCUGUUCUGAUACGUUCUAACACCACUUGAGAGUUGCUUGGGUCUCUGGCUGUUGAGAAAAGCCUUAAUGGUUUGCUUUCUAGAGGCAGGAUACAUGCACUGUGGGAGGAUGUAGAAAAGAAUAAAAAUGGACUCCUUCACCUUCUCGAUCUCAAGUCCUCUCCUGGCCAGACUGCUGCAGACAGAGGUGGCACAUGGCCUUUGGACAUAGCCCUUCGAUGCUGCUGUGAACAUGAAUCAUGACGAUAUUUUGAGAAGUCCUUCUACUGAUGCUCAGGCUGAAAGCCGUGGUCACUUGACCACAUAUCUGCACCUAACAUGUCAACAUCCUCGCCAUACACCUCAGUCCUUCUGCUGCCAAUCACAGCUUGUCUAUCUUAAGUCCCAUCCCC
This 5804-nucleotide long non-coding RNA is filed under the name Lynx pardinus (Iberian lynx). Lineage: Eukaryota; Metazoa; Chordata; Mammalia; Carnivora; Felidae. The record is from RNAcentral.